UACGACUACAUAUCAGGCAUAUCAAUAAGCGGAGGAAAAGAAACUAACAAGGAUUCCCUUAGUAACGGCGAGUGAAGCGGGAAGAGCUCAAAUUUGAAAUCUUCAAGGUUCUACCUUGACGAAUUGUAGUUUAAAGAAGUGUUUUCUGUUAGAGGAGUAGCAAAAGUUCCUUGGAAUGGGACAUCAUAGGAGGGUGAGAAUCCCGUAUUUGGUUAUUCUUUCUAGCUUUGUGAUACACUUUCAAAGAGUCGGAUUGUUUGGGAAUGCAGUCCAAAAUGGGUGGUAAAUUUCAUCUAAAGCUAAAUAUUGGCGAGAGACCGAUAGCGAACAAGUACCGUGAGGGAAAGAUGAAAAGAACUUUGAAAAGAGAGUUAAACAGUACGUGAAAUUGUCAAAAGGGAAGCGUUUGACACCAGUGUUGUUUAGUUGAAAAUCAAUUCAAUAGUUUUUGAUUCUAAGUAGUAUUGACUUCAUCAGCUUGCUGCUUUCUUCUCAGAAAUUAUUGAAUGCACUUUUCAGUUAACAAGUCAACAUCAAUUUCUUUUGUUGUAAAAGGUUAAGAGGAAGGUGGCUUUACUUUCGGGUAAAGUGCUUAUAGCCUUUUAACUCUGCAAUCGGAGAGAUUGAGGUCUGCAGCGUAGAUCCUUCGGGGCUAGAUACGUUUGUGCUAAGUUAUGGCUUUUCAUAGACAACUUGUUGACUAUGUUUAGUCUUGUAGCUUACUCGCAGAUGCUAUUUUACCUACGCUUAGGAUGUUGAUCUACAGAGCGAGAGU
RNAcentral lists this ribosomal RNA (775 nucleotides) under uncultured Neocallimastigales. Its description in RNAcentral is "partial large subunit ribosomal RNA". It matches the Rfam family "Eukaryotic large subunit ribosomal RNA", at positions 24 to 632 of the family's 3401-position model. The record is from RNAcentral. Lineage: Eukaryota; Fungi; Neocallimastigomycota; Neocallimastigomycetes; Neocallimastigales.